Molecule: ribosomal RNA, 396 nt
Filed under: Nutomonas limna
Lineage: Eukaryota; Ancyromonadida; Planomonadidae
Description: Ancyromonas limna partial small subunit ribosomal RNA
Rfam family: Eukaryotic small subunit ribosomal RNA
Source: RNAcentral
GCUUGUCUCAAAGAUUAAGCCAUGCAUGUCUUAGUGUAAAUAACUCUUAUGAAACUGCGAAUGGCUCAUUAAAUCAGUUAUCGUUUAUUUGAUGGUCCCUUACUACAUGGAUAACCGUAGUAAUUCUAGAGCUAAUACAUGCACAAAGGCCCGACUCACGAAGGGCUGUAUUUAUUAGAUCCAAAACCAAUGCGGGGCAACCCGGUUACUGGUGAUUCAUAAUAACCUAUCGGACCGAAUGGCCUUGCGCCGUCGGUGCAUCAUUCAAAUUUCUGCCCUAUCAAUUUGUUGGUAGUAUAUAGGACUACCAAGAUGAUUACGGGUAACGGAGAAUUAGGGUUUGAUUCCGGAGAGGGAGCCUGAGAAACGGCUACCACAUCUAAGGAAGGCAGCAGG